Non-coding RNA from Caenorhabditis elegans, 115 nucleotides. The record is from Ensembl. Lineage: Eukaryota; Metazoa; Nematoda; Chromadorea; Rhabditida; Rhabditidae.
UCCUCCCACUCGAGAAUUCGGAUAGGCAAGAAGUAGAAGUAGAAGAAAAGAAGCAAGAAGAGAGUCUCGUUGUCGAUAUUGAAUAAUUCAUAAAGACAUGACAGUGGUAGAAGAA